This 497-nucleotide ribosomal RNA is filed under the name uncultured bacterium. RNAcentral's name for it is "partial 16S ribosomal RNA". It matches the Rfam family "Bacterial small subunit ribosomal RNA", at positions 28 to 507 of the family's 1533-position model. The record is from RNAcentral.
GACGAACGCUGGCGGCGUGCCUAAUACAUGCAAGUUGAGCGCUGAAGGUUGGUACUUGUACCAACUGGAUGAGCAGCGAACGGGUGAGUAACGCGUGGGGAAUCUGCCUUUGAGCGGGGGACAACAUUUGGAAACGAAUGCUAAUACCGCAUAAAAACUUUAAACACAAGUUUUAAGUUUGAAAGAUGCAAUUGCAUCACUCAAAGAUGAUCCCGCGUUGUAUUAGCUAGCUGGUGAGGUAAAGGCUCACCAAGGCGAUGAUACAUAGCCGACCUGAGAGGGUGAUCGGCCACAUUGGGACUGAGACACGGCCCAAACGCCUACGGGAGGCAGCAGUAGGGAAUCGUCGGCAAUGGACGAAAGUCUGACCGAGCAACGCCGCGUGAGUGAAGAAGGUUUUCGGAUCGUAAAACUCUGUUGGUAGAGAAGAACGUUGGUGAGAGUGGAAAGCUCAUCAAGUGACGGUAACUACCCAGAAAGGGACGGCUAACUACGUG